This 236-nucleotide ribosomal RNA is filed under the name uncultured bacterium. RNAcentral's name for it is "partial 16S ribosomal RNA". It matches the Rfam family "Bacterial small subunit ribosomal RNA", at positions 29 to 239 of the family's 1533-position model. The record is from RNAcentral.
AACGAACGCUGGCGGCGUGGAUAAGACAUGCAAGUCGAGCGCUGAUUCAAGGGUAGCAAUAUUCUUGAGUCGGAGCGGCGCAAGGGUGCGUAACACGUGGGUAAUUUGCCAUGAAGUCUGGAAUAACUUGCUGAAAGGCGAGCUAAUGCCGGAUGUGAUUUUCGGGAAGCAUUUCCUGAAACUACAAAGUUAGGGGACCGGUAAAGGCCUGACGCUUCUUGAUAAGCCCGCGGCCU